This 410-nucleotide unclassified non-coding RNA is filed under the name Hevea brasiliensis (rubber tree). Lineage: Eukaryota; Viridiplantae; Streptophyta; Magnoliopsida; Malpighiales; Euphorbiaceae. The record is from RNAcentral.
AUGUACUUCCAAGGAUCAAGGAGAAAAAGAUUAUGUCACUUAAGCCGUUUGUUGAUCGGUUGGGAUAUGACAAUGUUCCGCAAGAGAUAAACCGGCUCCGAUGCAGAGUGAAUUACCAUGCCUUGAAAUUUCUACCCCAUAUUGAGGAAAUGGCUGACAAUUUAGCAUCAAGAAUGCGGAACCGUACUGCCGGAUCAAACCCUUACAUGGCACUGCAUCUGAGGUUUGAGAAAGGAAUGGUGGGGCUUUCCUUCUGUGAUUUUGUCGGAACACGAGAAGAGAAAGCAAUGAUGGCGGCAUACAGGCAGAAGGAAUGGCCUAGGCGGUACAAGAAUGGAUCACAUCUUUGGCAGCUGGCAUUGCAGAAGAGGAAGGAAGGACGCUGCCCGCUAGAGCCUGGCGAAGUGGCG